Molecule: ribosomal RNA, 254 nt
Filed under: uncultured bacterium
Lineage: Bacteria
Description: partial 16S ribosomal RNA
Rfam family: Bacterial small subunit ribosomal RNA
Source: RNAcentral
UACGUAGGGUGCGAGCGUUGUCCGGAAUUAUUGGGCGUAAAGAGCUCGUAGGCGGUCUGUCGCGUCGAUCGUGAAAACUUGGGGCUUAACCCUGAGCUUGCGGUCGAUACGGGCAUGACUGGAGUUCGGCAGGGGAGACUGGAAUUCCUGGUGUAGCGGUGAAAUGCGCAGAUAUCAGGAGGAACACCGGUGGCGAAGGCGGGUCUCUGGGCCGAUACUGACGCUGAGGAGCGAAAGCGUGGGGAGCGUACAGG